AUUGAACGCUGGCGGCAUGCCUUACACAUGCAAGUCGAACGGCAGCACGGGAGCAAUCCUGGUGGCGAGUGGCGAACGGGUGAGUAAUAUAUCGGAACGUGCCCAGUCGUGGGGAUAACGUAGCGAAAGCUACGCUAAUACCGCAUACGAUCUAUGGAUGAAAGCGGGGGAUCGCAAGACCUCGCGCGAUUGGAGCGGCCGAUAUCAGAUUAGGUAGUUGGUGAGGUAAAGGCUCACCAAGCCGACGAUCUGUAGCUGGUCUGAGAGGACGACCAGCCACACUGGGACUGAGACACGGCCCAGACUCCUACGGAGGCAGCAGUGGGAAUUUUGGGACAAUGGGCGCAAAGCCUGAUCCAGCAAUGCCGCGUGCAGGAUGAAAGG
This 384-nucleotide ribosomal RNA is filed under the name uncultured bacterium. RNAcentral's name for it is "bacterial SSU rRNA". It matches the Rfam family "Bacterial small subunit ribosomal RNA", at positions 30 to 415 of the family's 1533-position model. The record is from RNAcentral.